GGGGAAUAUUGGACAAUGGGCGAAAGCCUGAUCCAGCCAUGCCGCGUGUGUGAAGAAGGUCUUCGGAUUGUAAAGCACUUUAAGUUGGGAGGAAGGGUUUCUGGCUAAUAUCCAGGAAUUUUGACGUUACCGACAGAAUAAGCACCGGCUAACUUCGUGCCAGCAGCCGCGGUAAUACGAAGGGUGCAAGCGUUAAUCGGAAUUACUGGGCGUAAAGCGCGCGUAGGUGGUUCGUUAAGUUGGAUGUGAAAGCCCCGGGCUCAACCUGGGAACUGCAUCCAAAACUGGCGAGCUAGAGUAUGGCAGAGGGUGGUGGAAUUUCCUGUGUAGCGGUGAAAUGCGUAGAGAUCGGGAGGAACAUCAGUGGCGAAGGCGACUGCCUGGGCCAACACUGACACUGAGGCACGAAAGCGUGGGGAGCAAACA
This 426-nucleotide ribosomal RNA is filed under the name uncultured Pseudomonadaceae bacterium. RNAcentral describes it as "bacterial SSU rRNA". It matches the Rfam family "Bacterial small subunit ribosomal RNA", at positions 356 to 774 of the family's 1533-position model. Lineage: Bacteria; Pseudomonadati; Pseudomonadota; Gammaproteobacteria; Pseudomonadales; Pseudomonadaceae. The record is from RNAcentral.